CAGUAGCCACGGUAAUACGUAGGGUGCGAGCGUUAAUCGGAAUUAUUGGGCGUAAAGGGCGCGCAGGCGGCUUCUUAAGUCUGUCUUAAAAGUGCGGGGCUUAACCCCGUGAUGGGAUGGAAACUGGGAAGCUCAGAGUAUCGGAGAGGAAAGCGGAAUUCCUAGUGUAGCGGUGAAAUGCGUAGAUAUUAGGAGGAACACCAGUGGCGAAAGCGGCUUUCUGGACGAAAACUGACGCUGAGGCGCGAAAGCCAGGGGAGCGAACGGGAUUAGAUACCCGCGUAGUCCCUGUCUCUUAUAC
This 301-nucleotide ribosomal RNA is filed under the name uncultured bacterium. Its description in RNAcentral is "partial 16S ribosomal RNA". It matches the Rfam family "Bacterial small subunit ribosomal RNA", at positions 509 to 807 of the family's 1533-position model. The record is from RNAcentral.